Long non-coding RNA from Beta vulgaris subsp. vulgaris (sugar beet), 624 nucleotides. RefSeq lists it as uncharacterized. Lineage: Eukaryota; Viridiplantae; Streptophyta; Magnoliopsida; Caryophyllales; Amaranthaceae. The transcript is spliced from 3 exons. The record is from RefSeq and is a predicted model, not a curated record.
UUAAGGUCUAUCCUAGAAGCUACUCUUAUAUUCUUCACCAUUAAGUAGUAGAAGCAGCCUUGUAGACGUCUUUUUGCCAUCUUCACCGCGUUUCUAGAACUUUUGCAACUCUUAUUUAAAUCCAAACACUCUUAAGAAAUCCUCCUUAUCUUCCAAUUUUUAAUACUAUAUAUACUUUCGUAAGUCCAUAAAUUUCAACACACUUUCGAAUAUUUGAUUUUAUUAUAUAUUGUUCAACUCUAUAAUCUAUCUUCAGCAAAGAAAAUGAGUGAUCCUAAGUAUCCGUAUUCGUAUCCUGCUCAAGGUUAUUAUCAAGGACCUCCGGUAAUGGCACCUCCUCAAUAUCAGUAUGCUCCACCGCCGCCACCACCACCACCGGCUCAAAAACAACGAGGCUUUCUCGAAGGAUGCCUUGGUGCUCUAUGUUGCUGUUGUCUCCUGGAUGAAUGUUGCUGUGAUCCAACAAUUAUUUGCAUUGAUUGAGAUUUACUAGAAGCCUAGAAACAAUGUUUACAGAAUCCAUAUUUUAAUGUAACCAUUAAUUGAUGUAGAUAAUUUUUCUGGAUGUGACUCAGUUGAUAAUGGACUACUUUUAUGAUUUCAUUAAUGCACAAAUUUAAUGUA